This 440-nucleotide ribosomal RNA is filed under the name uncultured bacterium. Its description in RNAcentral is "partial 16S ribosomal RNA". It matches the Rfam family "Bacterial small subunit ribosomal RNA", at positions 338 to 795 of the family's 1533-position model. The record is from RNAcentral.
CCUACGGGAGGCAGCAGUGGGGAAUAUUGCACAAUGGGGGAAACCCUGAUGCAGCGACGCCGCGUGAGUGAAGAAGUAUUUCGGUAUGUAAAGCUCUAUCAGCAGGGAAGAAAAUGACGGUACCUGAUUAAGAAGCCCCGGCUAACUACGUGCCAGCAGCCGCGGUAAUACGUAGGGGGCGAGCGUUAACCGGAUUUACUGGGUGUAAAGGGAGCGUAGAUGGCAGGACAAGUCUAGAGUGAAAUGCCGGGGCUUAACCCCGGAACUGCCUUGGAAACUGUGCAGCUAGAGUGCGGGAGAGGAAAGUGGAAUUCCUGGUGUAGCGGUGAAAUGCGUAGAUAUUAGGAGGAACAUCAGUGGCGAAGGCGGCUUACUGGACUGUAACUGACGUUGAGGCUCGAAAGCGUGGGGAGCAAACAGGAUUAGAUACCCCUGUAGUC